Molecule: long non-coding RNA, 611 nt
Organism: Arachis stenosperma
Lineage: Eukaryota; Viridiplantae; Streptophyta; Magnoliopsida; Fabales; Fabaceae
Exons: 4
Source: RefSeq, a predicted model, not a curated record
CCAAUAUUCUUCCAUUCUUAAACUCAAUAACAAGCUUCCCCAUUGACUCUCAUCAGGUCUCCAGGACGUAUUUGCCGCAGCAACGCUGGUUAAUAUGUCAAGUAUUUUAGAGGGGUAAUAUGAUCAUUUGCCUCUAAAAGCAUGUGUUUGGGAUAUCAAUACAUCAAUGAUGAGAACACGUCAACAUCAUUUUUCGUUGAAUCUGUCUUGUAACAUCGAUAUGCUUCAGCCCUAACUUGACAAUGUGCGUUAAUUUCUGAUUGUGCUGCUCUGUCUGCUCGGAGUUGCAUUUUGGAAUAAAUAGCCUCAAUAGUCUCUACUCAGAGAACAAGAACUAUAUUUAUAUGAUCAACAACCACCUUGUCUGUUUUUGUUUUUGAUAUACGCCUUUAUGCUGUUGAUUUUGUUUAAUUUUAUUCAGAUACAUGAAGGAUGCAUGCAUGGAUUAAUACAAUGUUUUUGGCUGGGAUACAUAUUUCAUUUCACAAGUAAAACUCAACACUGGAUGUGCUUAUAAACUAUAGUAAUUAUUUCCCUUUUUUUUCCUUUGCAAGAAUGAGACAUAGCUGACCAUUUUUGCCCUAAAUUUAAUGAAGUAAACAGUUAGGCUU